GACGAACGCUGGCGGCGUGCUUAACACAUGCAAGUCGAACGGAAAGGCCCUGCUUUUGUGGGGCGCUCGAGUGGCGAACGGGUGAGUAACACGUGAGUAACCUGCCCUUGACUUUGGGAUAACUUCAGGAAACUGGGGAUAAUAUCGGAUAGGAGCUCCUGAUGCAUGGGGGGGGAUGGAAAGUUUCGGCGGUUUGGGAUGUACUCGUGGCUUAUCAGCUUGUUGGUGGGGUAGUGGCUUACAAAGGCUUUGAAGGGUAGCCGGCCUGAGAGGGUGACCGGCGACCUUGGGACUGAGGUACGGCCCAGACUGCUACGGGAGGCAACAGGGGGAAAUCUUGCCCAAUGGGCGGAAGCCUAGUGAAGCAGCGCCGCGUGCGGGAUGACGGUCUUCGGGUUAUAAACCGCUUUCGCCUGUGACGAGGCGUUAGUGACGGUACUGUGUAAAGAAGCACCGGCUAACUACGUG
Molecule: ribosomal RNA, 468 nt
Filed under: uncultured bacterium
Lineage: Bacteria
Description: partial 16S ribosomal RNA
Rfam family: Bacterial small subunit ribosomal RNA
Source: RNAcentral